Molecule: long non-coding RNA, 284 nt
Filed under: Panax ginseng (ginseng)
Lineage: Eukaryota; Viridiplantae; Streptophyta; Magnoliopsida; Apiales; Araliaceae
Description: long non-coding RNA (PGIN_LNC018104)
Source: RNAcentral
UUUAAGUUCGUUCUUUAUUGGACCAGAUUUGCUUCAAACUGCGAUGUCUCUCAUUCUUGUUAUCAGUCUCUGGUGGUAUCAUUUUGGGAUGUUAUAUUUCUGAUUUUCUUCUAUUCUAAGCUCUAUUAAUUGUUUGGAUUGGAUUUGAUUGUGUUGGCUGGUUUGGGCUCCCGUAUAGAUGAUUUGCUUACUGGUCAUCGUCGGAUUUUUUGGGAGUUUCUGCCGGAGUUUGGCCAGGUUUCACCAGUCUUGCUGAUGGAAAUUUCUGAACUUUUGGUUUUAUG